RNAcentral lists this long non-coding RNA (2201 nucleotides) under Homo sapiens (human). Its description in RNAcentral is "HSALNT0249012". The record is from RNAcentral. Lineage: Eukaryota; Metazoa; Chordata; Mammalia; Primates; Hominidae.
ACAACCUUUUUGUUCCACAUCAGGGAAUUCACAGGGUAUCCAUUAGAAACCAUAUCACAUUUACAAGGCUCCACGGACUUCCUUAAGCCUUGAUGCUCCAACGGGUUAUACAGGCUAAGAGGUGGGGAUGAGUGCAGAUCCGAAGUGGGUGGGUGAGGAUCUCCCAGCCUCUCAGCCCUGGCACGGGGACUUGCUUUUCUCCAGGCUAUCUGGUUCUCUCUGUUUAUUCUCUGCCUGCUUUCCUUGUGUCUCUCGUUGUUUCUCUCUAAAUCUCCAUCUUUCCCUCUCUGUCCCUCUCCCCCUCCCUCCUUUCCUCUCUGUCUUUGUAACUCUCCCUCAAUUUUACUCAUUUUAGUGGUUCACUCUUUGGAUCUAGGACCUUGGUCAGCAUGAGCAUUGCACUCACAGAGAGGGUGACACGUUUCCUGAUGCCUGAAAGAGAGAAAUAAGAUGGCCCAGGAGACUCCAGGGCACUCUGCCCACUAAGCAUCUUUUUGGUCCUCCCCCUGCCAGAUUGAAAGAUGACAGACUGAGGACAAGCCCUAAGGGGACAGAGAGUCUAAGGCUCCAUGUUCCAACUCUGCAAGCCCCACCUCAGCUCAACUCAACACCUUAGACCUUCAGCUCACAGUUCUCUACAGGACACUUGUGAAAACUUGGAAAAUAUUAAUUGCUUAACAGUCCGCUUGCAAGUUGAACAGGCAGAUAAGGAGGAAAAGCCUUUCUUCUUUGACAAGCUUUCCAUGAAACAUAACCCCAGAACACGAGUGCCCAGAUGUAUACAUUCCAGGCAUGAAAAUGAAGGAUAAUUCUCCAAAAAGACUGACUGGCCCUUGGGACAAGAUCCACAGAGACUUCAUCUGAAACGUUCUUCAUCAAUCAAGUAAGCCCACUCAUCUAUUGAUAAUGCUUACUGAGGGGCAAGCCACCCCAUGCACAUAAAGUCUCCUCUUAGCUUUUUAGUGUACCACUUCUUAAUCAUAAAUAAACAUUUAAGGAUCACCAGACAUUUGUAGAAGACCUCAACUAUGAAAAAAGAGAACUUAACAAAUAAACUUUUUUUGGAAGGCUGAGAAGACAUAGAGACAAUAGAGGGAGCAGAAAAAUAAAUAACAAAAACAAACAACCCUAUAGAUAUUAUUGUCAUCUGAAAGUUUUGAGAAAGUAUUGCAUUCAUGAAACAAGAAUAAGAUGCAAUUAAAAAGUAUAAUCGGAGUGAAAAAAUGAAUUAGCCAAGAUAAAAAAUAUUCAAUAGAACACUUGGAAGAUAAGGUUGAGUAACUCUCCUUGAAAAGCCAAAGAAAAAGAUGAGAAUGAAGAGAAAGAAAAUUAGGGGACCAAGCCAAUGUAUCCAACAUCUGAAAUUCCAAGAAGGGAAAGUGGAGAGAAUUAUGGGGUGGAAAUAAUCUAAUAAGUGGUUUAAUUUCCCAGAACUGAAAGACAUGAGUUUCCAGAGAAGGCCCAGCAUCAUGUAUUUAAAACAACAACCAAAAAAACUACCUAAGCAAAUAUUAUGAAAUUUCAGAAUAUCAGAAAUAGGACAGAUUGUAAGUUGACAGAGAAGAAAACCUGUCACAAAGGAUAAGGAAUAAAAAUGGCAUCAUGCCUCUUACUAGCAACACUGAGGCCAGACAACAACAUAACAAUUGAUAUUCUGAGAAAAAAAGCAUGUUCAGUCUACAUCUAUACCAAGACACACUCUUAAUCAAGUAUGAGGGUAAAACAAUGAACUUUCAGAUAAACACAGACUAAGGUAAUAUGCCUCUUAUGCACCCUUUCUCAAGACUAACUGGAGUCAGUGUUUCCCUAAAAUGUUUAAUCAGCUAACAAGGUGCUAUGAUGUGGAUAUUUGACCCUCCAAAUAUCAUGUUGAAAAUUGAUCCCCAUUGGUAGAGGUAGGGCCUGGUGGGAGGUAUGGGUUGUGGAGGUGGAUCCCUCAUGAAUGGCUUGGUGCCAUUCUCGCAGGAAUGAGUGAGUUCUCACUCUUAGUUCUCAUGAAAAUUCGUUGUUGAAAAGAACCUGGCACCUACUCCCCAUUGCUCUUUCUUCCCUUCGCCAUGUGAUGCCUGCUGCCCUUCAUCUUCCACCAUGACUGGAAGCUUCCUGAGGUCCCCACCAGAAGCAGAUGCUGGCACCAUGCUUCUUGUACAGCCUGCAGAACUGUUAACCAAAUAAACCUCUUUUCUUUAUAAAUUACCCAG